ACGUAGGGGGCAAGCGUUGUCCGGAUUUAUUGGGCGUAAAGAGCUCGUAGGCGGUUCCGUAAGUCGGGUGUGAAAAAUCUGGGCUCAACCCAGUGGAGCACCCGAUACUGCGGUGACUGGAGUCCGGUAGGGGAGUGUGGAAUUCCUGGUGUAGCGGUGAAAUGCGCAGAUAUCAGGAGGAACACCGACGGCGAAGGCAGCACUCUGGGCCGGUACUGACGCUGAGGAGCGAAAGCAUGGGGAGCGAACAGGA
This 253-nucleotide ribosomal RNA is filed under the name uncultured prokaryote. Its description in RNAcentral is "partial 16S ribosomal RNA". It matches the Rfam family "Bacterial small subunit ribosomal RNA", at positions 525 to 777 of the family's 1533-position model. The record is from RNAcentral.